GAGGAAACCGGUGUGAAUCCGGUGCGGUCCCGCCACUGUGAUCGGCGAGCGGACCCCGAACAGACCACUGCCCGUACGCGGGUGGGAAGGCCGGGGCGAGCGUUGACCCGAGAGCCAGGAGACUC
This 125-nucleotide non-coding RNA is filed under the name Streptomyces uncialis. Lineage: Bacteria; Bacillati; Actinomycetota; Actinomycetes; Kitasatosporales; Streptomycetaceae. The record is from RNAcentral.